Molecule: transfer RNA, 69 nt
Filed under: Callionymus curvicornis
Lineage: Eukaryota; Metazoa; Chordata; Actinopteri; Syngnathiformes; Callionymidae
Description: Repomucenus curvicornis tRNA-Pro
Rfam family: tRNA
About the family: Transfer RNA (tRNA) molecules are approximately 80 nucleotides in length.
Source: RNAcentral
CAGAACAUAGUUUAAAAAGAAUUUUGGCUUUGGGAGUCAUUGGCGGAGGUUAGAGCCCUCCUGUUCUGA